ACCUUAGUCCUCUAUCUCCCUAUCUCAUCGGCCCUCUGCUACAGUUCAACCUUUUGCUACUCGUAAAUCUCAGAUUCUCAUGUUUGAGGUAAGGUUUUCCCCUUCUCACUGUUGCUUUCUACAAUUUAGAAUAUCUGAUUAGGGAUACGCAUUGUCGAAUCCGUAAUUUGAGAUUUGUAUAACAAAUCCCUAAUUAGGGAUGUGUAUUGUCAAAUCCCUAGUUGGUGAUUUGCAUUGUCUGAGUUUAGCUCUGCUUGUAAGUGGUGUAUUUUGGGUUUUGUGCCAAUUUCUUGAAAUCUAUCAAUGUUGUUCGUCCUCUUUGUGUUUUAGGCCUGUCUGAUGUAGUAUUUCAAAUCUCUUUUGUAGUAUAUAAGAAGGAUUUCAUGUAUAUGAUUAUGAAAGGAUAGUAGCACCAUAGUAAUUGUAAUGCAUAUUCAUUUUAAAUGUGAGGAAUAGACUAUCUAUUUCAAUAUGAAAAAUGAUAUCAGCGGAUACAUACAAGCAUUUGUUUGGGUAAAAGGGAUCUUGAAAAAUUGGGAUUUUGGUAGGUCUGAGUGCCAGCUAUGCCCAAUGUGCUUUCUUAUGCUCAAUCACAGUACUGGAAAUUUUAAUCCAAAGGCAGUUUAGUCAAUCCUGUCCUUUCUUUCUAUCAGUCAACUACUAGUUUGAGUUUUGAUGUAUUGGUGUGCACAAAAGGACUGAGCAGAAGUGCUUAAGCUUGAUAAAAUCUGGCUUUUUGGGCCAGCUCUAAUCUUACUGGUUUUUUAUUCAGCUCUCUUUACCACAGAGACAUUUCUCAUCUCAUAAUUUCAUAUUUGUUUUAGGUUGUUUUUUGUUGCAACAAAUAGCAUGAAAUUUUGGUGCGACCAAUCAAAAUGGCACAUAUCAAAGAGUUGUUCGGGGGAAGAAAUAGGAAGGGGACAGGUAGCGAAACAGCCCCUGUUUGGAUGGCAUACAAACAUCAUGAGUAUGAGCUGGAUGGCAAAAGUGAUGGGAGAGGUAGAUUCCUUACGGACAUCUUGGUGGGCCCCUCGUAGCUUCUGCUUCUACAUAAGUGAUGGAUGGCCAUUUGUCACAUGUCCGGAAAGCUCAAAAUAUGCCAAGUCUUUUUUUUUUUUUUAAACAAAUAAGUGGCAUGUAUUUACAUGGAUUCUUUUCUAAUUAUUAUACCAUGCACAAAAAAAAAAUUGAAGUUAAAAUCACAAAAUUGUUGGAAUAUGUAUAUCCAGACCAUUCAAAAUCAGGCCGACUCUAGAUGGGUGCAUGUUCUAGAAAUCACACAAAUUGGAUGAAUCUAACUUAAUCAUUCUUUUUUAUGCUAACCUCACCUGGUGGGACCCAUGAUUUAGACUGUCUAGAUUGACAAGCAUGCAUGCAUGAUCCAUGUUGGAUUUUGCAUGAGUAUGAUCCACUACACUAUGACCAAAAUAUAAAAACACAAAAUAGAAAACACAGUGCCUGUUUGGAUGCCGCUUAAAAAUGAGCCAAUCUCAUUGGAGUUAAUCUUAUAUGUACAGAUUAAAAGUAAUUUUAAUAACAAACAAUCAUGAUUUCUAAUGCAUAAUUAUGAUUGAGAGUGUGUUUGGUUGCACCAAAUAUCAGGAAUUUUCAAAUGCACACUCAAAUGAGUACUCAUUUUUAAGUGGGCACCCAAACAGGAUCUUCUCAUUUGGAGAGUAGAAAUGGUACCUUUGGACUCAAUUGCUACCAUUAUAUUUGUCAUCUCCCUAUCUACCUUACUUGGUUGCAACUACAAACUGGGUACUUGGAGAGCUUGCAUCUUAUCUCCCUCAAGUGAGUCUCUCUAACAUAAUUUCUAUUUAUAUUCAUUUGUUCCACAGUCAGUCUUCUAGGUGAUAUUCACUGGCAUGCUUAUGCAUAGUCAAACAAUCACUUGGCCCUAGAAAGCUUUCAAAACUUUUUCAACAGUCCCUAUCACACAUCCCUUUUUAUCCACGUCAAAUAUCCUCAAAUAAAGCCCAAGUGCAUUGGAUUUUCUUGAGACUUAUCUCUCUGAUUGCCUCUAAUCUAUUUUUAUGGUAACAGAUUAGCUUUCUUUCUCAUCUUUCCUUUAGAUCGUUCUACAUUUCUGCUCUGUUUCACUAGUUUUUUUUUUUUUACUUGAUUUGAUGCUUGGAUGUGAUUUUAGCUGGUUUAUUCACUGUCUUGCUAUUUUUUUUCUUGAUUUAAUUUUCAGUGUUAAAAAAUGAUGCGAAUUAGUUGCUAUCUUUGCUUAUUUCGGAUUAGAAAAUUAUGGUAGCAAUUUGUCGUUUCAUUUCCCUUAUUAUUAUUAUUAUUAUUAUUAUUAUUAUUAUUAUUAUUAUUUGUUGAAAUAUUGUGUGAUGAAAUCUGUUAUAGAUAUAUGAUCUUUUGCUAAUUUUGAAAUAAAGAUAAAUUAGUAGAUCAGUUCCACUUUUAUGCAAAUGAGCUUAAUUAUGAUGUAUUUAUGGCUUUCAAAUCAAAACAUGAGCUCACUCUACAUGUCAUUAGAUAAAGGAUCAUAUAACUCCUCUUGAUUUGUUUUCAAUCUCAUAAAAGAUUACUGAUUUUUCAAGCUUCUUCCGGCUUACAGAGUUGUUAAGUGCCUUCUAAUUGGUAACAGAUUUUGCAAUUUCUCAUCUGGUAGCACUAAUUGUUUAAAUAUUUUGCUUCCAUAUCAAGAUUUCUCUUUUUUCUGUUCCCUCUUUUUCUUUUUUUUUUUGUGGUUUGAAUGACUUUGAAACUGCAGGAUUUUUAUGAGGAUCUAUUUGAGGAGCUGAGCAAGUAUGGAGAGAUUGAGAGCCUUAAUGUUUCUGUUUGUUAACCUUUUGCAACAAAAACUACCUCACCUUAUACCAGAGGUUUAUUUUUGGAGAUUUCUCCUUAUCUUUCCACUUCAUUUUUGCUCCAUGUAAUUACCACGCUCAUCUCAUUAUCUUCAAAAAUUGGAAGAAAUAGUGGAUUGUGAAUUGAAAAAGCCUCAGUUUUACAGUUAUUGCUGGUCCCAAGAAUCAAUAAAAGAACUUCCAAAUGAUAGUGUAGAAGAAAAUUUACCUUGCCAUAGUAUCUAGAAUUGUAUUAAUUAGCAAAUCCCACAGAUUGUAUAUAGAAGAAAAUUUACCUUACCAUAGGAUCAUUGCCUGGAUUGGCACCAUUGCAUAUCAGUCAUGUCCCAGGACUUUCUCCAGCUGGAAAACCCUUUUUCUAAAA
Molecule: long non-coding RNA, 3189 nt
Organism: Magnolia sinica
Lineage: Eukaryota; Viridiplantae; Streptophyta; Magnoliopsida; Magnoliales; Magnoliaceae
Exons: 2
Source: RefSeq, a predicted model, not a curated record